GUCGGGCCCCACAUCUCCAUAUUAUUUUUUCAUUCAGGAGGAGGAGGAGGAGCCUGGUAUCACUCUCGAGGCUGUCCCGAUGAAAGAGUGUUUCAGCAUCUUUCUAUCCCGCAAGCUUAUUCUCCGGUGAUUUCCGGGCCACUGUGGAAUCUGGGGAACGAGCAUAUGCAGACAGCGACGUAGAAGCGCGGCUCUCUCUCCUAUAGCACACUGACCAGUAUCGCACUGCUGAGAGUUGACACGCAUUCUCGCAAGCCCCCAUGCAAGCACGCACCCAAUAGCUAUACACGGCAGUAAAACCCCGAGACUCUAGGGAGUUAACAAAAACGGACACACAAUGAUGGUGAGUGUGUCGGGUUCGGCGUUUUCGGCUUUAAUCGACAAACACCGCAAAAAUAAACGCCGGGUAAAUUUUCC
Ornithodoros turicata is the source of this 417-nucleotide long non-coding RNA. RefSeq lists it as uncharacterized. The transcript is spliced from 2 exons. The record is from RefSeq and is a predicted model, not a curated record. NCBI's taxonomy places the organism in Eukaryota, Metazoa, Arthropoda, Arachnida, Ixodida, Argasidae.